GACGAACGCUGGCGGCGUGCUUAACACAUGCAAGUCGAACGGAAAGGCCCUGCUUUUGUGGGUUGCUCGAUUGGCGAACGGGUGAGUAACACGUGAGUAACCUGCCCUUGACUUUGGGAUAACUUCAGGAAACUGGGGCUAAUACCGGAUAGGAGCUCCUGCUGCAUGGUGGGCGUUGGAAAGUUUCGGCGGUUGGGGAUGGACUCGCGGCUUAUCAGCUUGUUGGUGGGGUAGUGGCUUACCAAGGCUUUGACGGGUAGCCGGCCUGAGAGGGUGACCGGCCACAUUGGGACUGAGAUACGGCCCAGACUCCUACGGGAGGCAGCAGUGGGGAAUAUUGCACAAUGGGCGGAAGCCAGAUGCAGCAACGCCGCGUGCGGGAUGACGGCUUUCGGGUUGUAAACCGAUUUCGCCUGUGACGAAGCGUGAGUGACGGUAAUGGGUAAAGAAGCACCGGCUAACUACGUG
Molecule: ribosomal RNA, 468 nt
Filed under: uncultured bacterium
Lineage: Bacteria
Description: partial 16S ribosomal RNA
Rfam family: Bacterial small subunit ribosomal RNA
Source: RNAcentral